Molecule: transfer RNA, 67 nt
Filed under: Xanthochlorus tibetensis
Lineage: Eukaryota; Metazoa; Arthropoda; Insecta; Diptera; Dolichopodidae
Description: tRNA-Ile
Source: RNAcentral
AAUGAAUUGCCUGAAAAAGGGCUACUUUGAUAGAGUAAAACAUAUAGUUUUUUAAUUAUAUUCAUUA